Drosophila gunungcola (fruit fly) is the source of this 611-nucleotide long non-coding RNA. RefSeq lists it as uncharacterized. The record is from RefSeq and is a predicted model, not a curated record. The transcript has 3 exons. NCBI's taxonomy places the organism in Eukaryota, Metazoa, Arthropoda, Insecta, Diptera, Drosophilidae.
GUUGGCAGGUGUGUUUAUAUUUGGAUUUUGUUUAUUGCGUAUUAUUUUGGUUUGUUUAUACGCAGGCCCUGCGGGAGUUUGGUUAGUUUUGGAUGCCAACAAUACCCUUCAAUUCAGGCGCAGUGGGAAUUUUUUUGCUGGUGAUUCGCAGUUGUGUCAGUUAAGUUUAAUGGUUAAAUAAUUUGUUUUUUAUUGCGCAUUUGGUUUUAGUGUUAGCAGUUUCUGGAUCGCAUUUGUGUCAGAUUAGUCCCUCGCAGCCGUCUCAAUCGUAGCUUCAUCUUUCUCCGCAGUCCGGUCGUCUGGAGUCACAGGAAGAAAUCCGUCCAGGCAGGGUGCCCUUAGCUGACUUUGGGUAAGGAUGUUGCUGGAUUUAGUGGCACGUCUAACUGGACUGUGGAGGACCAGAAAGGAUGGUUAAAUCUCCCGCCACAGACGUCUUAGCUUGGACCAGAGAGGAAUCUGUUGGCUGAGACAGCUGUGUGUCUGUGUGGGAAGUGUCCCUCGCUGCUGUCUUGUCUCAAGAUCCUUAUAGGAUUCCUUCGCGUCAGUUGUCGGCGUCCUGAGGUAUUCGAGUACAUAGUAGCUACACGUACUGGAUGGCUUUUGUGUCA